RNAcentral lists this ribosomal RNA (425 nucleotides) under uncultured bacterium. RNAcentral's name for it is "bacterial SSU rRNA". It matches the Rfam family "Bacterial small subunit ribosomal RNA", at positions 354 to 796 of the family's 1533-position model. The record is from RNAcentral.
GUGGGGAAUCUUAGACAAUGGGCGCAAGCCUGAUCUAGCCAUGCCGCGUGAGUGAUGAAGGCCCUAGGGUUGUAAAGCUCUUUCAGCUGGGAAGAUAAUGACGGUACCAGCAGAAGAAGCCCCGGCUAACUCCGUGCCAGCAGCCGCGGUAAUACGGAGGGGGCUAGCGUUGUUCGGAAUUACUGGGCGUAAAGCGCGCGUAGGCGGACUGAAAAGUUGGGGGUGAAAUCCCGGGGCUCAACCUCGGAACUGCCUUCAAAACUAUCAGUCUGGAGUUCGAGAGAGGUGAGUGGAAUUCCGAGUGUAGAGGUGAAAUUCGUAGAUAUUCGGAGGAACACCAGUGGCGAAGGCGGCUCACUGGCUCGAUACUGACGCUGAGGUGCGAAAGCGUGGGGAGCAAACAGGAUUAGAUACCCCGGUAGUCC